RNAcentral lists this ribosomal RNA (1145 nucleotides) under human gut metagenome. Its description in RNAcentral is "bacterial LSU rRNA". It matches the Rfam family "Bacterial large subunit ribosomal RNA", at positions 1778 to 2925 of the family's 2925-position model. The record is from RNAcentral.
CGCAGAGAAUAGGCCCAAGCGACUGUUUACCAAAAACAUAGGUUUCUGCUAAGUCGCAAGACGAUGUAUAGGAGCUGACGCCUGCCCGGUGCUGGAAGGUUAAGGGGAUCUGUUAGAGCAAUCGAAGCAGUGAACUUAAGCCCCAGUAAACGGCGGCCGUAACUAUAACGGUCCUAAGGUAGCGAAAUUCCUUGUCGGGUAAGUUCCGACCCGCACGAAAGGCGUAACGAUUUGGGCACUGUCUCAACAAUAGACUCGGUGAAAUUGUAAUCCCGGUGAAGAUGCCGGGUACCUGCGACAGGACGGAAAGACCCCAUGGAGCUUUACUGUAGCUUGACAUUGAGUCUCGGUGCUACAUGUACAGGAUAGGUGGGAGGCUAUGAAGCAUGGACGUCAGUUUGUGUGGAGCCAUCCUUGGGAUACCACCCUUGUAGUACUGGGAUUCUAACCAGCUGCCUUGAAUCAGGUAGUGGGACACUGUCAGGUGGACAGUUUGACUGGGGCGGUCGCCUCCCAAAAAGUAACGGAGGCGCUCAAAGGUUUCCUCAGCACGGUCGGAAAUCGUGCGAAGAGUGUAAAGGCAAAAGGAAGCUUGAUUGCAAGACAUACAGGUCGAGCAAGGACGAAAGUCGGACUUAGUGAUCCGGUGGUACCGCAUGGAAGGGCCAUCGCUCAACGGAUAAAAGCUACCCUGGGGAUAACAGGCUUAUCUCCCCCAAGAGUCCACAUCGACGGGGAGGUUUGGCACCUCGAUGUCGGCUCAUCACAUCCUGGGGCUGUAGUAGGUCCCAAGGGUUGGGCUGUUCGCCCAUUAAAGUGGUACGCGAGCUGGGUUCAGAACGUCGUGAGACAGUUCGGUCCCUAUCCGUCGCAGGCGUAGGAAAUUUGAGAAGACCUGUCCUUAGUACGAGAGGACCGGGAUGGACGUACCUCUGGUGUACCAGUUGUUCUGCCAAGGGCAUGGCUGGGUAGCUAUGUACGGAAUGGAUAAGCGCUGAAAGCAUCUAAGCGCGAAGCCAACUUCAAGAUAAGAUUUCCCACCGUAAGGGUAAGACCCCAGGAAGACUACCUGGUUGAUAGGUCGAAGGUGUAAGUGCAGUAAUGUAUUUAGCUUAUCGAUACUAAUAGGUCGAGGACUUGACCAA